UAAUUCGAGAGUUUGAUCCUGGCUCAGGACGAACGCUGGCGGCGUGCCUAACACAUGCAAGUCGAGCGAGGGGAGUUCUUCGGAACAAACCUAGCGGCGGACGGGUGAGUAACACGUGGGCAACCUGCCUCAA
Clostridium homopropionicum DSM 5847 is the source of this 133-nucleotide non-coding RNA. Lineage: Bacteria; Bacillati; Bacillota; Clostridia; Eubacteriales; Clostridiaceae. The record is from Rfam.